UGAAGCCUGAGUACCUGUGGCCUGAUGGACACAUGGAGUGCUCGAAGGUUAUUUCUCCUUGUUCUUUUCAGUGCAGAAACUUGAAGACAAAGGGAGACAGGUUAUGACAAAAGCAUUGACAAGAUCUACCAACACAAGUUUCACCAUCUGAUGCAGUGAGUUACUGUUAAUAUUCUUCAUGCAUGGAAGGAACCACAGGUAAGUCUUCCCUCAAAAGGAUCAACAUCUUGCUACUACAUGCCACAGACUAGGGGUCUUUCUUGGAAUCAGAUGCUGCACUGCUCAUUGGUCUUUGCAAAAAGCUAUCUACGCAGUACAGCUCCUAAUUACAUGACCAGCUUCACAAGUCCCAGUCGUGUGUGGUCCUUGGGCAAGGAACAGAGGACAACCUGAGCAGAUUUAUCCGAGACUUCAACACUAAGCAAUUCACCCACACCCACUUCCUUCUUCUUCUUCUUCUUCUUCUUGGUUACCAUACAAUGAGAUCCAAGGAUGACAGAGGUGUCCGUCCCCAUAUCACCACCCCUCGCUGCCCUCAUGAUUCAAAGCAAUUAAAGGCAUUAAGCAUUUCGAGCCUGGCCGUACCAUCACGCGAGCCAUCGCCACUGUGGUGCAACAGUGCCCCCCACUUUAUCCUAGAAUCGCUUUGCAUUCUUCCAAGCCACCACAUGGAAAAGGGUAGGGGGAGGGGGGUGGAGCAGAUAAAAGUGCAGAGAGAUAGGUUGAUAGAUAUGCAUUGCAUGGUUGUGAUUCCAUGGCUGCAUUAUUGCGUCCAUCAACCCGAUUAAGAUGAGAUUUCACGUCGCCCUUUGGAUGACACUGUGACCACCUAGAGAACCUUGAGAAAAGGAGGAGGAGAAGAAGAGGACAUGUGUGCUUGUGCUCCUCCUCCUCCUCCUUACAGGAGUAAUUUGAAGCACCUUGACUUGUGGGCACACCCUUCUUCUUCUUCUUCUUCUCCUUUUUUCCCUUUCCCUAUCCAUCUAACCCAAAGCUGAGUCUGCCCUAAACAUACGUGCCCCUCUGCCCUACCAUCAUCCCCCGAAGCCUUUUCUGGUCUCCUUUGUUCUGCUCCACAGUUGGUGAGGAGAAUCCCACUCACCUUUCUUCCCUCCAUUGUUUGCUUAUCCUUUCUUCCUCCUUUUCUCAUGUGUGCUUGCCCUUCCCUUCACGUUGGCAGGUAUGAUACGGCCAAAGCAAAAGGUGGGGGGGGGGAUUGGGAGGGGGGCACCAUGUUCUGACCAAAGGCGCAGGAAAAGAUGGAGUCAGGUUCCCAACAUGCACAAACCCAAAGCAAGCUUCAUCUUCCGUGCAUGCCACCACCUGCACCAUGCUGCCGGGCGAGCUUGUUUGUAUGAACCUGAUUGAGGUGACAACUUGUUCUUCACCACAAGGUCAGUGAACAAUCAACUGCAAUCAAACAAAUGAGCCACCAAGUGCAUUUUUCAGGUGGCUACUGCAAAAUCCAAAGAGGCAACUUGAUUUCAACAGAGCACUUUGUUGUGCAUUAUGCCAGAGAAAUGAGAAAACAGAUACAUAGAGGCUUCAAUCACUGAACAGUUAUGAUGAUGACCUUUCAUUUCUGUGGUGGAAGGGACUGUCAAGCAGUGAUCUUUGGCAGUGUUGACACAUCGAUGCAAGGAAUGCUUCUCAUACUUGAAGCUUCAGAAAGGACAACUGGUAUUUUCUUUCUUCAGGAUGCAGAUUUGUCCCUUGAGCCCAUAAACACCAUGAAUUGAAGGGCAGAUACCUCUUGUCUGGGCUGGAGGUGGAUCUAUCCAUCCAUUUGGGUUGAGCUUUGGGCCUACUACUCCAUGGGAAGAUUGUGGCUCCACCCCAAGAUUCACUUGGUGCUUGGAUCAACCUCAGAUGCUGUGAUGAGAAGAUUUGUGAGCUUGAGAUGGCUUCUUCCAAAGAAAAUAGCUACAGUACUUGGAACAAGUCAUUCUAUCAUCACUGUAUUUCUAGAUUAUUAACACAAAAUCAUCUUUCUUGCAUUUCCUCACAUUUAUUGUCUGCAUCACAUUUUAGGAAUAAGAUUGUGGGUGUUCAGUGAACAUGGAAGCUGAGGCUCAGCCCUUGUCAGCUAGCAAUGAUCAAUCCUGUUGUUAUCAGCCUCAACUGAAACCUCAAGUUAGCAAUGUAAUCUUUGUCAAAGCAUACAUCAUGUGUUCUUCAUGCAAGUUUGUGUUAUAUUCCUUUGAUGAUAUAACAACACAUUGCUGCAAGCUUGCACAGCAACAAAAACAGAGAAAGACAUCUCUGAUGGUAAUUAUGGUCACUUCAAUAUCUGGUGGAAGGCCUGAAUCAGGUGCAGAAGAAUCAUUAUCUCUGGUCAGCAGACAAGGAUAGCUAAUUUGUCUUGGUUUUCCUCAAGCAGAAAUAAAAGCAAAUCUUGUUAGCCAAUAACAUUCGUCCACCAUCCUUUUGUUCAUCUCUGGAUUGUGGCCCUGCAGUUUAUAUUCCUUUUUCUUUUUCUGUUCUGUUUCUUCCAUCUUUUCUUUGGAUUAUUUUGCUGUCAUAUUUAUCUGAUUCCUUUCUUUCUGGGGUGCUCAGCUACAGGAAUUGAGCACCCAUCACAUUGCUCAGACAGAGUGCCAUAUCAUGUCCUGUUUUUGUGGAUGAACAAUGGGCAUCAGACAGCUCUGCUGCUGUGUUUGGGUAGACACAAUGUUGUGACAAGUGCUUCCCUGAGUCAAGAAGAGGGAGAUGUGACCUGGGAUUCUUUGGCAGGGAGAAAUCAUGGAUGACAGAGAGGGAGACAUUGCAAGGGCAGACAGGUGCAUGGAUAAUUAUUCCAAAGACACAACAUGCUAUGUGAAAGAAACCUGAAGAUGGCACACAAAGUGCAUGGUAUGGUGGAUGAUGCAAUCAAAGGUAGGAUAAGUUCCAGGCCCUGCUUUUUGAUGUAGAGAAGCUUCAAAGAAACUUCCUCCAGUACACAAUUAUGCUUGAUUGGCAAGGGAUAUGUGAUUGCCAUCUCCUUUUUCUCAUCCAACAUAUGCAAAUCAUUCUCAUGUGAUGUUCACAAAAGCUACAUUGUUCAUACUAUUCCCUUUGGAAAGCCACAAAAGUUUUCACAGAAGAAUUAGGUUCAUUAUCCUUCAACAUUAAAUUUUACUUUCCAACAUAAUCA
Musa acuminata subsp. malaccensis (wild Malaysian banana) is the source of this 3136-nucleotide non-coding RNA. NCBI's taxonomy places the organism in Eukaryota, Viridiplantae, Streptophyta, Magnoliopsida, Zingiberales, Musaceae. The record is from RefSeq and is a predicted model, not a curated record.